GGGGGGGGGGGGCGGGGGGGGUGGGGGGGGGGGGGCGGGCGGGGGGGGCGGGCGGGUGGGGGGUGCGCGGGUGGGGGGCGGGGGGGGGCCACGUGAGUCGCCGGCCCUGGACUGGGGGGUACCUGCCGGAAGCUGGGGCCGAUACCGGCGAGGAGCUCCUGCUGCCGGGCGGGGGUUGGAAAGUUCCGGCGGUUGGGGCUGGACUCGCGGCCUAUCAGCCUGUUGGUGGGGUAGUGGCUUACCAAGGCGUUGACGGGUAGCCGGCCUGAGAGGGUGACCGGCCACAUUGGGACUGAGGUACGGCCCAGACGCCUACGGGAGGCAGCAGUGGGGAAUAUUGCACAAUGGGCGGAAGCCGGAUGCAGCAACGCCGCGUGCGGGAUGACGGCCUUCGGGUUGUAAACCGCUUUCGCCUGUGACGAAGCGUGAGUGACGGUAAUGGGUAAAGAAGCACCGGCUAACUACGUG
Molecule: ribosomal RNA, 468 nt
Filed under: uncultured bacterium
Lineage: Bacteria
Description: partial 16S ribosomal RNA
Rfam family: Bacterial small subunit ribosomal RNA (bases 56-468)
Source: RNAcentral